CACCAUAACGAGGGUUAAGGAGCACAGCAUUAGAUGCCAACCGUAUGUGGCCUCCACACUGGGCCACUUCCGUACUGAGCCAACUCCAACAUAAACUAAAAAAGUUAGUUCAUGCCUCUCUGUCUUUGCUCAAUGUCUUCUGCACUACCACGACCCCCUCUCUAGUCCAUCUAUAUAAAUCUCACCUAUUGUGAGGAGACACCAACCAAUUCAGAAAUACUUGCUUUUACACUUACUGACAAUUUACACUUAAAAACAAAGCCCAGGG
RNAcentral lists this long non-coding RNA (268 nucleotides) under Bos taurus (domestic cattle). RNAcentral's name for it is "long non-coding RNA NONBTAT012148". The record is from RNAcentral. Lineage: Eukaryota; Metazoa; Chordata; Mammalia; Artiodactyla; Bovidae.